Long non-coding RNA from Bombus impatiens (common eastern bumble bee), 2604 nucleotides. RefSeq lists it as uncharacterized. Lineage: Eukaryota; Metazoa; Arthropoda; Insecta; Hymenoptera; Apidae. The transcript has 3 exons. The record is from RefSeq and is a predicted model, not a curated record.
GAUCUCCUCUUCUGCUCUCCUUGAGCCGAUCCACAUCCGCGAUUAUGCCACUUUCCAUCGACCUCGCUUCACCUCAGCUCGCCAUACACCGACGGCACAUGUAUACAGUGUACGUGCAACGGAAGCUCGUGAUUUUCUUUAUGGACUGAAUUCGGAACUUCGUGAAAUCGAUCGACAGGGAUCUCGGAUUUCAGGGAAAGGAUAUGCUUCUUUUAAAAAAUCGAAAGGUAUCGAACGAUAACUUUUUACGAUUAGUUAAACAAAGUACUCGAAGAUACUUUAGAUCGAUCUUUUAAACGAAUGCUUCGGAAAAUAAAACUAGUCGAGUUUGAUGUUGGAAAAUCGAAAAUAGAAGAUUAGAUAUAAUACUGUAUUUUAUCUCCGAAAUAAAAGGAACUGUGUCACUUUUUCUCUGACACGCCCGGAGAAAAGGAAGUUGAAAAUUAUGCCGACCUAUUCUGUAGCCCUUGCACACAUUGUCCGGAAAAAUGCUGCGGUGCGAAAAAGAUUUAUUAAAUUUCCCGUUUUUUCUUUUCUCUCGGGCCAAAGACGUUUUUAAUUAGAUACCGAAAUUUGUACUUUGGUCUAUUUACUUCCUUCUCUUUGAAGCAAAGAUGCCUCUCGAAAAUUUGCCCUGCCUUUUUCUCGUCGUUCCCAUUACUCUUUCACAAUUCUUUGCAAACGGCAUUCUAUUUGCUCUUGAUUCACCGUUAACGAAAAUUAACCGCCCGAAAACAUUCUUUGUUAGUAUCUGUGCGGAGAGGGAUCAAAGUAAACGAAACUUCGUCGAGAAUAAAGUGCAUCGAACGAAUCGGCGGUAAUCGAACUGGCGUCAUUUUAGCACGCGGUUCCGUAUUAUGUAAAGCGAUUCGCAUCGGCGGAAGACGCGUCUUGCUUCGUGGACCAAUUUGUUACGUCCACGGUUUUUACGAAACACUCAUUCGCCGCGCUGGUCCGUUUUAUUCUUUCCCCUUCCAUCCUUUUUGCUCGCCAUCGCGAUGUAAAGUUAAUUGGCGUAGCGCCGCGCGGUUACUCGAUUUACAUGAGUUUUAAUUAAGCGACUGCGUUUGCUCGUCUCACAGCGAACGAUACCUACCGGGGCCACGUGGAAUUUUUGAAGUAAUUGUUAUGUGUUUUGCACGCCUUGCCCUGCCGAGGUAUGAAAGAGGGGCUGGGCAGAUACAAAUCUUCAAGAUCGUAAAUUCGCUUUUUUAAUGUUACACCGCGAGGGCUAUCAUUCUCAUAAUGACCUCUUUAAUUCACCAGCAUAUUUUCGACGAUUACUACGCUCUCUCGUUUGCUCUUCUCAUCUUUUGCCUGACGUAAAAAUCGUUUCCCGUGAUCGUUGAGGUUCCUUCGAAUAAAUGGACACUAGAUCUUUUUACAGUCGGAUUAUGGUUCCCUGUGUGAGAUCGGUGACAUUGAUAGGUCAACGAACUUCUCGAAUGACCUUGCCUUGGCAAGUAUAGCGGUACGGUGAAAAGAUUCAUAGGCAAGUAAGUUUUCUCCUACUGGACGAAUAAAACGGAAAUAUCGUGUUUGGUAUUAUCGUUUCUACACUUUAGACGAUAAAUAGAUACAGUUACAUACGUUUUUUCGUUUUGUCUUUGUUAACUUUGUUCGUUUUUUGUUUAGUACUUUGCUGUGACAUAUAUUAAUUGUUUCGAUCUUUUACAUUUAGCGGGGUUUGUUCGCACACGACUAAACGGUAUGGUCAUCUAGCGGUGAGAAAGCUGAACUAAAAUGUCACUUAUGAUAUGCUACUACGCGAGUACAUCUCGUCUGUAAUGACAUAUAAGUUCGUGUCACAUGUCUUAGACAUUAAAAAAUUAGAGAUUCUGUUAUGCUGCAGAUACAGACAAGGUACAAAAUAGAUGUGACAUGUAACACUUUUGCCUCACGUUUUGAGGAUUUCCUGAUUCUCUUACCAUUUUCGUGUCACAUGCGAUGUUAUCGAUUCGAUAUACAUAUAUACAUAGUAGUAAUUUGAAUAACAUAAUACAUAAUUUACUAGAAAAAAAGUUUUCGAACUUGUGUGCAAGAUCUGUAAAUGAUCCCAAGCAAUCAGGAGUCAGUCAGGUGAAGAUUUGGCGCUAGAUGACGUUAUACAGCGAAAAAGUGAGAAAAAAUGAAGAUCUAUACGAUUAUUAGAUUCUUCAUAACAUUUCCCCUUUCGCCAGGAAGGAUGUAGCGGUGUCUCAGCUUUAAGCAUUUUCUUUUGGCCUUCGCUUCUUCCGUCGAAUUCGGCGGUUCUGUCUGAUGACGCCUUGAUCAUGGCUUCCCUUGGGCCACAACGAUAUCGAUGACAACGUUCUUCGCAUUUAAUCGUGAGUCGCAUGCAUCUUUGUUUUUCUAGUCACUCAAUCGUGUCGUAGGAUGAAAGGUCCGAAUCGACACGGGUGACCGAUCGUAUUACGUAGAAUUUUUAACUAGCAUGGUGACCGCAGUUAUUUAUUAUAUCCAUGAGUAGUAACUUUUUUUAUUUGUAUUUUAUUUUUUAGUUGAGGGCAGGUUUUCUUACGAAUCGCGUUUUUAAGUGUUGUUGAUCAAUGCAUGUAUGUCAGUGUAAUAUUUACAUAUUACAAUAUAAACAAUCUGUAUGAA